GUUAUGGGGUCAAGUGAAUAAGUGCAAGUCGUGGAUGCCUUGGCGAUUACAGGCGAUGAAGGACGUGACAGCCUGCGAAAAGCCUCGGGGAGUCGGCAAGUAGACAGCGAUCCGAGGAUAUCCGAAUGGGGAAACCCGUCCGCAAGGACACUCUGCAGUGAAUACAUAGCGGCAGAGAGCUAACCGGGUGAACUGAAACAUCUCAGUAGCUCGAGGAAAAGACAUCAACCGAGAUUCCGAUAGUAGUGGCGAGCGAAUUCGGACCAGCCAGCACGAUGUGACGUAACCAGCAGCAAAGCCACCUGGAAAGGUGGGCCGUAGAGGGUGAUAGCCCCGUAUGCGAACCGGUUGCGUUGAACUAAGCGUGCGAUAAGUAGGGCGGGACACGUGAAAUCCUGUCUGAAGAUGGGGGGACCAUCCUCCAAGGCUAAAUACUCGUAAUCGACCGAUAGUGAACUAGUACCGUGAGGGAAAGG
RNAcentral lists this ribosomal RNA (476 nucleotides) under Kapaibacterium sp. (SeqCode). Its description in RNAcentral is "Candidatus Kapabacteria bacterium (microbial mat metagenome) partial 23S ribosomal RNA". It matches the Rfam family "Bacterial large subunit ribosomal RNA", at positions 1 to 514 of the family's 2925-position model. The record is from RNAcentral. Lineage: Bacteria; Pseudomonadati; Bacteroidota; Eximiradiia; Eximiradiales; Kapaibacteriaceae (SeqCode).